AUGGCAGCGCAAUCUGUGUCCGGCAUUACCAGAAAAGUCUUCAUGUGGACAGUCUCAGGGGCACCACAUACAGAAUUUUGGUCUCGAUCCAGAAAAUAGAAAGAGCCAGUGGUUGCUGAGACAGUACAAGAGGUGAAAAAGGAAUCUAUCCUCAGUGUGUCUACCCUCACAAAGCCGAGCAUACACACAACCUGAAGAUCUCCAGAGUUGUUUGGAAUCUUAUGUUAAAGAAGUUUUUGGUUCAUCUCUUUCUAGUAAUUGGCAAGACAUCUCCCUGGAAGAUGGUCAUCUACGGUUCAAUCUCUUGGCACAUUUAGCUGAUGGCUUGGGUCAUGUAGUCCCUAACUCCAGACUCCACCAGAUAUGCAGGGUUAGAGAUGUUCUUGAUUUUCUAUAAUGUCCCUAUUCAAGAUAGAUCUAAAUUUGAUGAACUCAGUGCCAGUAAUCUGCCCCCCAAUUUGAAAAUCACUUGGAGUUACUAA
RNAcentral lists this long non-coding RNA (482 nucleotides) under Homo sapiens (human). RNAcentral's name for it is "non-protein coding lnc-RAPH1-4:1". Lineage: Eukaryota; Metazoa; Chordata; Mammalia; Primates; Hominidae. The record is from RNAcentral.